UACGAAGGGUGCAAACGUUGCUCGGAAUUAUUGGGCGUAAAGCGCACGUAGGCGGCUUUGCAAGUCGGAUGUGAAAUCCCUCGGCUUAACCAAGGAAGUGCAUCCGAAACUGCAGAGCUUGAGUACUUAAGAGGAUCGCGGAAUUCCCGGUGUAGAGGUGAAAUGCGUAGAUAUCGGGAGGAACACCAGUGGCGAAGGCGACUACCUGGCCUGUUCUUGACGCUGAGGCGCGAAAGCUAGGGGAGCAAACGGG
Molecule: ribosomal RNA, 253 nt
Filed under: uncultured bacterium
Lineage: Bacteria
Description: partial 16S ribosomal RNA
Rfam family: Bacterial small subunit ribosomal RNA
Source: RNAcentral